UACGUAGGGUGCGAGCGUUAAUCGGAAUUACUGGGCGUAAAGCGUGCGUAGGCGGUUCCUCAAGUCCGUUGUGAAAGCCCCGGGCUCAACCUGGGAAUGGCAUUUGGGACUGCAAGGCUCGAGUGCGGCAGAGGAGACUGGAAUUCCUGGUGUAGCAGUGAAAUGCGUAGAUAUCAGGAGGAACCCCGAUGGCGAAGGCAGGUCUCUGGGCUGACACUGACGCUCAUGCACGAAAGCGUGGGGAGCAAACAGG
RNAcentral lists this ribosomal RNA (253 nucleotides) under uncultured bacterium. RNAcentral's name for it is "partial 16S ribosomal RNA". It matches the Rfam family "Bacterial small subunit ribosomal RNA", at positions 524 to 776 of the family's 1533-position model. The record is from RNAcentral.